GAUGAACGCUGGCGGCGUGCCUAAUACAUGCAAGUCGAGCGAACAGACGAGGAGCUUGCUCCUCUGACGUUAGCGGCGGACGGGUGAGUAACACGUGGAUAACCUACCUAUAAGACUGGGAUAACUUCGGGAAACCGGAGCUAAUACCGGAUAACAUGUUGAACCGCAUGGUUCAACAGUGAAAGACGGUUUUGCUGUCACUUAUAGAUGGAUCCGCGCCGCAUUAGCUAGUUGGUAAGGUAACGGCUUACCAAGGCAACGAUGCAUAGCCGACCUGAGAGGGUGAUCGGCCACACUGGAACUGAGACACGGUCCAGACUCCUACGGGAGGCAGCAGUAGGGAAUCUUCCGCAAUGGGCGAAAGCCUGACGGAGCAACGCCGCGUGAGUGAAGAAGGUCUUCGGAUCGUAAAACUCUGUUAUUAGGGAAGAACAAAUGUGUAAGUAACUAUGCACGUCUUGACGGUACCUAAUCAGAAAGCCACGGCUAACUACGUG
This 497-nucleotide ribosomal RNA is filed under the name uncultured bacterium. RNAcentral's name for it is "partial 16S ribosomal RNA". It matches the Rfam family "Bacterial small subunit ribosomal RNA", at positions 28 to 507 of the family's 1533-position model. The record is from RNAcentral.